CAGCCGCCGCGGUAACACGGAGGGUGCGAGCGUUAAUCGGAAUUACUGGGCGUAAAGCGUACGCAGGCGGUUUGUUAAGUCAGAUGUGAAAUCCCCGAGCUUAACUCGGGAACUGCAUUUGAAACUGGCAGGCUAGAGUCUCGUAGAGGGGGGUAGAAUUCCAGGUGUAGCGGUGAAAUGCGUAGAGAUCUGGAGGAAUACCGGUGGCGAAGGCGGCCCCCUGGACGAAGACUGACGCUCAGGUACGAAAGCGUGGGGAGCAAACAGGAUUAGAUACCCCAGUAGUCCCUGUCUCUUAUAC
This 301-nucleotide ribosomal RNA is filed under the name uncultured bacterium. RNAcentral's name for it is "partial 16S ribosomal RNA". It matches the Rfam family "Bacterial small subunit ribosomal RNA", at positions 509 to 807 of the family's 1533-position model. The record is from RNAcentral.